UUAAGUUAAGUAAACAUUUAAUUUGUGACUACCUGUAAUAGUAAUAAAGACUUUUAUUCUGGGACGGAGGGAAUAUAAGUCAGUUUAGAGUUGUACACAAGUAUCAAGGAAAUGAUUGUAUAACAUUAAAUAUAAUAUCAGUUGUCUAUAUUGUCUUUGUAUUGAAAAAAGUGUUAUUUAUUGGGCAAAAAAUAGGGAGAAAACUAAAGUUAUAUUUAUUAUUU
RNAcentral lists this long non-coding RNA (224 nucleotides) under Panax ginseng (ginseng). Its description in RNAcentral is "long non-coding RNA (PGIN_LNC003182)". Lineage: Eukaryota; Viridiplantae; Streptophyta; Magnoliopsida; Apiales; Araliaceae. The record is from RNAcentral.